RNAcentral lists this ribosomal RNA (360 nucleotides) under uncultured Veillonella sp. RNAcentral's name for it is "bacterial SSU rRNA". It matches the Rfam family "Bacterial small subunit ribosomal RNA", at positions 1052 to 1407 of the family's 1533-position model. The record is from RNAcentral. Lineage: Bacteria; Bacillati; Bacillota; Negativicutes; Veillonellales; Veillonellaceae.
GCGGCCGCGUCGUCGUGAGAUGUUGGGUUAAGUCCCGCAACGAGCGNAACCCCUAUCUUAUGUUGCCAGCACUUCGGGUGGGAACUCAUGAGAGACUGCCGCAGACAAUGCGGAGGAAGGCGGGGAUGACGUCAAAUCAUCAUGCCCCUUAUGACCUGGGCGUACACACGUACUACAAAUGGGAGGUUAAUAGACGGAAGCAAUACCGCGAGGUGGAGCAAACCCGACGAAAACACUCUCUCAGUUCGGAUCGUAGGCUGCAACUCGCCUACGUGAAGUCGGAAUCGCUAGUAAUCGCAGGUCAGCAUACUGCGGUGAAUACGUUCCCGGGCCUUGUACACACCGCCGUCGACGCGGCCG